RNAcentral lists this ribosomal RNA (301 nucleotides) under uncultured bacterium. RNAcentral's name for it is "partial 16S ribosomal RNA". It matches the Rfam family "Bacterial small subunit ribosomal RNA", at positions 509 to 809 of the family's 1533-position model. The record is from RNAcentral.
CAGCAGCCACGGGAAUACGGAGGAUCCGAGCGUUAUCCGGAAUUAUUGGGUUUAAAGGGUGCGUAGGCGGAUAGAUAAGUCAGUGGUGAAAGACGGUGGCUCAACCAUCGCAGUGCCGUUGAUACUGUUUAUCUUGAAUAUGGAUGAGGUAGGCGGAAUGUGGCAAGUAGCGGUGAAAUGCAUAGAUAUGCCACAGAACACCGAUUGCGAAGGCAGCUUACCAAGGCAAAAUUGACGCUGAGGCACGAAAGCGUGGGGAUCGAACAGGAUUAGAUACCCCCGUAGUCCCUGUCUCUUAUAA